RNAcentral lists this long non-coding RNA (666 nucleotides) under Rattus norvegicus (Norway rat). Its description in RNAcentral is "long non-coding RNA NONRATT017779". Lineage: Eukaryota; Metazoa; Chordata; Mammalia; Rodentia; Muridae. The record is from RNAcentral.
AGAACAGUAUUGAGAUUCAUCCUCAAUGAAGGUCUCUAAGUUUCAAUUACAGAAUUGAAUUUCCUCAAUUUUUUAAAACUUACUAGUAUUUUUUUUGGUAAUUUCAUGUAUGUAUUUAAUAUGUUUUGAUUAAUUACCCCACCCUUGAUGAGGUUCCUCCCAGCUUUGCCAGCUUCUCGCUACAUUUACUCUUUUCCCACAGUCAUGACUUUUGUUCCACUUUGAAUUUAACUCAUGCUGUCUGUGUGGCCCGGGAUGUGGACCUGUCUUCUGCAGCCUGUGAGCUCAGCAGUGGGUGAGAUAUGAAGCUUUACAAGCUCUAUGCUCAGCUCCCCCAUCCGACGUCCUGAGCUGUGAAAACUGGACCACUCUCUGUGAGAAACUGACCACGUUUGUCUGAUCCAGAUCCUAUGUUCACUGACCGGAUUUUAAAGUUCUACGCGCAGACUUUUACACUCUCACCGCUACACAUGACCAAGGAAAUUUAUACAAGCUUAGCUAAAUAUCUGGAGUUAUAUUUUCUUUCUAGAGAAAAUCACCUUCCUACUCUUUCAAGUGGAGUAGAUAUAACUAGCCCCAAUGUGACCCGCUUACUGAAAAAGGUCCGCCUUCUGAACGAGUAUCAGAAAGAGGUUCCGUCUUUUUGGAUUCGUCACCCAGAGAAGU